This 76-nucleotide transfer RNA is filed under the name Clostridium sp. RNAcentral's name for it is "tRNA-Thr". It matches the Rfam family "tRNA". Rfam says of the family: Transfer RNA (tRNA) molecules are approximately 80 nucleotides in length. The record is from RNAcentral. Lineage: Bacteria; Bacillati; Bacillota; Clostridia; Eubacteriales; Clostridiaceae. RNAcentral also lists the same sequence under 8 other names.
GCUACUGUGGCUCAGUUGGUAGAGCAGCGCAUUCGUAAUGCGCAGGUCGUCAGUUCGAGUCUGACCAGUAGCUCCA